UGGAGGCAGCUAAAUGCUCUUUUGUGCCUGCAGCUCUAAGGAGGCUGUGAUGCAUGCGAAGGAAAGUGACUGACUUAACUCAUUGGGAUUCAGGGAACGACCUGCCCUCUUUUGGGGGAAGAAAAAAAAAAGUGUGUAUGUGUGUGUGUGUUCGUGUGUGUGUAUGUGUGUGAGAGAGAGAGAGAGCGAGAGAGAGAGACACAGAGGGGAGGGGGGACUCACACAGAGUCCUGCUUUUCUGAGCUGAGAGCUGCUGGUUCCCAAGCAGAAACUAUGAGGAGAAACACAGCUUCGUGUCUCUUUGCUGCAUUUACAAUAAUGAAAUCACUACUAUUUUUAUUCCUGCUAACCGGUCGGUUUUGCUUGCAUCCGCUCUAAGCCAUGGACGACGGGAACAAACAAGUACUAAAAAAAAAAAAAAAGGAGAGGAAAAAACCCCCAAACACACCUAACCACGCUGGAAUGAGGAUUACUCACUUUAGUGCUGCCUAUCAUCUCCUCCCAAUCAGUCUUCUGCCGAGUUACUUAGAUAAGAAACCAGAACCGCAAGGCAGGAAGGGCGGCGGAGCGGAGCGAAGCGCGGAGGCAGCAGCCGUGGAGCGGGGCUCCCGCGGGCGCGGAGGAGUGCCGGCUGCCGGCGAAGCGGGGGACAGAGGGCUGUUUUCGACAUCAAUUUGUGGGCUUAGCUGGGCUGAAAAGGCAAUUUUCUGGCACGGGAGGGGUGCUCUCCUGCGUGUGUACAUACACAUCCUCAGGCAGCGUGGUCCUGCUCGAGUCGCUGUGUUGCAACGUGAGUCCACCCAGCUUGAAGGAAUGCGGUGGCCAAAACAGCUUUCCAGCUGGUUUGUUUUUUGGGGAUUUCCUCCCUCCCUCCCCCCCCGCCUCCCCCCCGCACUCCCCCCAAGUGUACAUGUGAUUAGUGGUACUUUUCCCUGGCAGGAUUUAAUUUAAAUAAACUAAGAUCAA
Columba livia (rock pigeon) is the source of this 966-nucleotide long non-coding RNA. RefSeq lists it as uncharacterized. The transcript is spliced from 2 exons. Lineage: Eukaryota; Metazoa; Chordata; Aves; Columbiformes; Columbidae. The record is from RefSeq and is a predicted model, not a curated record.